GCCUGACUGGCUACCCUCUUGCCAAGAGAUUUUCUCUGGCAAAUCCUUCUGUGCUCCUUCCCUCCAAGCCAAUGCCCCUCAUCCCAAGGAGCUCUUCCAAGCCAAUGAAGAGCUGCAUCGGAGAGCAUGUUACUGGGAAAAGUGGCACUGGCAAUGACGAUGACACCAGAAAAGAACAAGAGUCACGUUCAGAAGAAAAAGGACAUAAGGCUUCCUUGCUGUAUCCCACUGCAGGGGAUAAGAAGAAGGGGUCACUGGGAUUGUCUUUGAUCCCCCAGUUACGCAGGACAUUAAGCAGUGCUGCAGGAUCUCGGAAAAGCUCUCUGCAGCUGGAUGUGCAAGAGUCCCAGGAGAUGAGGUCCACACCCAGCAGCAGAAGUGAAGAUGAUGACUCUGAAGAAGGAGGAAAGCAAGCAGGGAAUAAACCCCAGGGGCAGGGAAUCUGAGCAAAUUGCAAUGUUGGAAAAUCAAUUUGUUUGCACCACAUUUGGGCUCCUUGAACACUGAGGACAUGUGAAGGGGAGUACAAAU
Molecule: long non-coding RNA, 531 nt
Filed under: Cyanistes caeruleus (blue tit)
Lineage: Eukaryota; Metazoa; Chordata; Aves; Passeriformes; Paridae
Description: lncRNA (ENSCCEG00000002635.1)
Source: RNAcentral